AUACGGAGGGUGCAAACGUUGUUCGGAAUUACUGGGCGUAAAGCGCGCGUAGGCGGUUUGUUAAGUCAUAUGUGAAAGUCCACAGCUCAACUGUGGAAGUGCAUUUGAAACUGGCAGACUUGAGUACUGGAGGGGGUGGUGGAAUUCCCGGUGUAGAGGUGAAAUUCGUAGAUAUCGGGAGGAAUACCGGUGGCGAAGGCGACCACCUGGCCAGAUACUGACGCUGAGGUGCGAAAGCGUGGGGAGCAAACAGAAUUAGAAACCCCAGUAGUCC
Molecule: ribosomal RNA, 274 nt
Filed under: uncultured bacterium
Lineage: Bacteria
Description: partial 16S ribosomal RNA
Rfam family: Bacterial small subunit ribosomal RNA
Source: RNAcentral